This 243-nucleotide ribosomal RNA is filed under the name uncultured bacterium. RNAcentral describes it as "partial 16S ribosomal RNA". It matches the Rfam family "Bacterial small subunit ribosomal RNA", at positions 109 to 353 of the family's 1533-position model. The record is from RNAcentral.
AGUAAUGUCUGGGAAACUGCCUGAUGGAGGGGGAUAACUACUGGAAACGGUAGCUAAUACCGCAUAACGUCGCAAGACCAAAGAGGGGGACCUUCGGGCCUCUUGCCAUCAGAUGUGCCCAGAUGGGAUUAGCUAGUAGGUGGGGUAACGGCUCACCUAGGCGACGAUCCCUAGCUGGUCUGAGAGGAUGACCAGCCACACUGGAACUGAGACACGGUCCAGACUCCUACGGGAGGCAGCAUG